Capsicum annuum is the source of this 107-nucleotide non-coding RNA. NCBI's taxonomy places the organism in Eukaryota, Viridiplantae, Streptophyta, Magnoliopsida, Solanales, Solanaceae. The record is from Rfam.
UGAUAAUGAUGAGGGUAAUUUUUUAUCAUAGCCUUAAAUCUUUAUCAAGCUUUUUAAAGAUUCUCUCCAUCUUUCUGCCUAAAGCUUAGAAUCUCACUUCUCAAAUG